GUUUUGUUUACGACUGGUGAAAAAAUGAGAAAAAAAAAUCAAAGACUAAAUUAUCGUUGCCGGCUCGUGUGUAAUUUCGUGUUUUGUCUUUAUCCUUACGCGUGAAAAGUUUUACGGCAGUCUUGUCUUUUUGGAUUACAGAAAGUUGUUCUUUAAUCGGCUGAUUAAUGUUGACGCUGCUAGUGGACGGACAUCGGAAAAACGCAGGAAUUAUCAAAUCUAUAUGACUUUAAUUAAAUCAUCAAAAUGUACGCCUAAGUUUGGAAGAUGAUAUUAGAAUUUCCAAAUCAUUGUCUGAUUCCAUUUAAGGUCAGCUUACGAAUUUUGCAAAGACCUGCUUCCUAGAUAUGAAGGUUUACAGAACGUGACGGAACUGGAGUAUACAAUGACUCCGGAAAGCUGCUGCAUGUCGAACUUAAUGGAGAUAAGGACAACCAAAGGCUCGCAUCGGAUUUCGUAAGCACAUUUCAGAUGAACCUUUAUAAUACGGUCGAAGGAAAUAACUCAACGAGACACUCCUAUGACGAGGUAGAAGUGAUCUGAGAAAAUCAACUAGUUGUACGAGCAGAACCUAAGUUUAAGGUGAACGAUAACGACAGCAGAUCUUAAGACAUGCCACAAUUUGGCAUGUAAUAAACUAAAUGAAAGAAAUGCAUAGAUUUAAAAUUAAAUUAGAAUCAAAAUAAAAUCACAAUCAAAAUUAAAUUUGAAACUUAAUUGAAGUCGAAUUGCAUCCUUUACAUGUCCAAAACAAAAACAAAUAAUCCAAAUCUAAUUUAAUUAAAACUAAUUGAUAUUCAUCAGAAUUAAACUAAAUUUACAAUUUUUUGCUUUACAAAUUAUUUUAAUAACAGAGACAAAUCUACGUUUCUUGUGAGAUGCAAAACAUGAUUUACAUAAUUACAAAACAUAAUUACACUUUAUAAUAUCAAUUCAAUAUUACAAAGUGUAAUGAUGUAUUGUAAAGAUGUAAAUUAUUUGUAAUUGCAUCUCACAAGAAAUGCGGAUUUUUUUUAUCUUUUUGUAAAAUUAAUUGUAAAACAUGUAAUAUAUUGUAUUUCUAUUGUAAAACUGAAGUGAAAAUUCAUUCUUAAACCUGUUGUAUUUCUUACGUAAAACAAUAAAUAAAAUAUAGAAAAACAUUUAAAACACAUUGUUUUCUAUUGUUCCGUCCUUAGAAAUCAUCCAAUUGAAGAACCGUAAAAUCAAUUGUUUUGCUCUGAAUUUUGUAUGGAAAAUUUUCGAAAUUUUUAUUGUAAAGAUACAUAACAACCCCCAUUUUUUAUUGUAAAAGUCCCAUUUACAAUUCAUUUUAUCGUGCAAAACA
Molecule: long non-coding RNA, 1327 nt
Organism: Armigeres subalbatus
Lineage: Eukaryota; Metazoa; Arthropoda; Insecta; Diptera; Culicidae
Exons: 3
Source: RefSeq, a predicted model, not a curated record